Long non-coding RNA from Cygnus olor (mute swan), 322 nucleotides. RefSeq lists it as uncharacterized. The record is from RefSeq and is a predicted model, not a curated record. NCBI's taxonomy places the organism in Eukaryota, Metazoa, Chordata, Aves, Anseriformes, Anatidae. The transcript is spliced from 2 exons.
UCUGUGUCAUGUUGAAGGUGGCUGUGAGCCAAGAAUAUCCUACAGAUUUUGAUUUAAGGUCACCAGUCCUAAAAGAUCUCAUGCUUAUGGUCCAGCUACCUCUGUGUUCCCCACUAAAUGUCUAAGACACUGGUCAACAAAAACAUUGCCUUGAACAUGUUGUACUUCUGAAGUUAUUAAAAACUGCAGUUGAAGAGGUGCUCAGUGGGAAGACAGCAACUACAGAAAGGAAGAAUAACCUGCAACUGGCAGAUAUUCUGCUAUCAAGAUACUAAUAUUAAAAUAAUUAGCAAUGGAAAUAAUAAAUAGAUUUUUUUUUUUU